RNAcentral lists this ribosomal RNA (541 nucleotides) under uncultured bacterium. RNAcentral's name for it is "bacterial SSU rRNA". It matches the Rfam family "Archaeal small subunit ribosomal RNA", at positions 724 to 1262 of the family's 1478-position model. The record is from RNAcentral.
AGUGAAUAGAUACCCCGGUAGUCCCAGCUGUAAACGAUGCGCGUUAGGUGUAUCGGUGACCACGAGUCACCGAGGUGCCGAAAGGGAAACCGUGAAACGUGCCGCCUGGGAAGUACGGUCGCAAGGCUGAAACUUAAAGGAAUUGGCGGGGGAGCACCACAACAGGUGGAGCCUGCGGUUUAAAUCGGACUCAACGCCGGGAAGCUCACCGGAUAAGACAGCUGAAUGAUAGCCGGGUUGAAGACUCUGCUUGACUAGCUGAGAGGAGGUGCAUGGCCGUCGUCAGUUCGUACUGUGAAGCAUCCUGUUAAGUCAGGCAACGAGCGAGACCCACGCCAACAGUUGCCAGCAUGUCCUCCGGGAUGGUGGGGACACUGUUGGGACCGCCUCUGCUAAAGAGGAGGAAGGAAUGGGCAACGGUAGGUCAGCAUGCCCCGAAUUAUCCGGGCUACACGCGGGCUACAAUGGUCAGGACAAUGGGUAUCAACACCGAAAGGUGAAGGCAAUCUCCUAAACCUGUCCUUAGUUCGGAUUGUGGGCU